This 562-nucleotide ribosomal RNA is filed under the name Adolfus jacksoni. RNAcentral describes it as "partial 16S ribosomal RNA". It matches the Rfam family "Bacterial large subunit ribosomal RNA", at positions 1796 to 2620 of the family's 2925-position model. Lineage: Eukaryota; Metazoa; Chordata; Lepidosauria; Squamata; Lacertidae. The record is from RNAcentral.
UCGCCUGUUUUAUCAAAAACAUAGCCUUUAGCCUAACAAGUAUUAAAGGUCCCGCCUGCCCAGUGAAUCUUCAACGGCCGCGGUAUCCUAACCGUGCAAAGGUAGCAUAAUCACUUGUCUCUUAAAUAGGGACUAGAAUGAACGGCUAAAUGAGGAUUAAACUGUCUCUUGCACCCAGCCAAUGAAACUGAUCUUUUAGUUCAAAAGCUAAAAUAAACACAUAAGACGAGAAGACCCUGCGGAGCUUUAAACCAAGCUCACCCACCAUGACACCUUGGUUUUUAGUUGGGGCGACUUCGGAGCACAAAAAACCCUCCGAUAUGGAAUUUUCCACACCAAGAUCAACACAUCAAAACACUAAGACCCAGCAGUCUAAUACCUGGCUGCCUGAUUAACGAACCAAGUUACCCCAGGGAUAACAGCGCCAUCCCCUUCUAGAGUCCCUAUCGACAAGGGGGUUUACGACCUCGAUGUUGGAUCAGGACUCCCCAAUAGUGCAGCCGCUAUUAAAGGUUCGUUUGUUCAACGGUUAAAGUCCUACGUGAUCUGAGUUCAGACCRGA